Molecule: ribosomal RNA, 465 nt
Filed under: Triticum aestivum (bread wheat)
Lineage: Eukaryota; Viridiplantae; Streptophyta; Magnoliopsida; Poales; Poaceae
Description: partial small subunit ribosomal RNA
Source: RNAcentral
AUGACGACGCACGGAGAUGUUUUCAAGAUGAAGCUACUCAUGUACCUCAUCUCAUCUGUUUUCGCGCCGACCACUUCUCUUCGCCCAAGCAACAAAUGCUUCCCCAUCCUGGCGAAACUGAAAGAUGUGAAGAACAUGAACUGGUGUAAGUUCAUUGCCAACUUCCUGCAUGAUGCAUUUGCAAGCAAGGUGUACCAGAAGGGUUGUCGACUGCAUUUAAUGCUCAUGUACGUCGACUGCCUUGAUCUGUCCACCGUGGACUUCACUGGGACAGGAGGCCCGCCGCCUGCGCACAAGUUUGCUGUUUCUGCAUGGACUAUCGAUGCUGUCAAGGCUGUGCUUGCUGCAGACAGGCUGAUGGCCAAGCAUUCUAUAGACUACAGCGUGUUUGGGGGGCCUCAAAACUUUGAAAAGUGGAUGGACGUGCACUCAGCUCCGUCUUGUCCUUCAGAGGGCACCUAUUGA